AACGCGAAGAACCUUACCAGGCCUUGACAUCCAAUGAACUUUCUAGAGAUAGAUUGGUGCCUUCGGGAACAUUGAGACAGGUGCUGCAUGGCUGUCGUCAGCUCGUGUCGUGAGAUGUUGGGUUAAGUCCCGUAACGAGCGCAACCCUUGUCCUUAGUUACCAGCACGUUAUGGUGGGCACUCUAAGGAGACUGCCGGUGACAAACCGGAGGAAGGUGGGGGUGACGUCAAGUCAUCAUGGCCCUUACGGCCUGGGCUACACACGUGCUACAAUGGUCGGUACAGAGGGUUGCCAAGCCGCGAGGUGGAGCUAAUCCCACAAAACCGAUCGUAGUCCGGAUCGCAGUCUGCAACUCGACUGCGUGAAGUCGGAAUCGCUAGUAAUCGCGUAUCAGAAUGUCGCGGUGAAUACGUUCCCGGGCCUUGUACACACCG
This 435-nucleotide ribosomal RNA is filed under the name uncultured bacterium. Its description in RNAcentral is "bacterial SSU rRNA". It matches the Rfam family "Bacterial small subunit ribosomal RNA", at positions 958 to 1392 of the family's 1533-position model. The record is from RNAcentral.